RNAcentral lists this ribosomal RNA (144 nucleotides) under uncultured organism. Its description in RNAcentral is "23S ribosomal RNA". It matches the Rfam family "Bacterial large subunit ribosomal RNA", at positions 53 to 210 of the family's 2925-position model. The record is from RNAcentral.
AGGACGUGGUUACCAACGAAAAGCUCCGGGGAGUUGGAAGCAAACAGAGAGCCGGAGAUGUCCGAAUGGGGAAACCCGAAAUACUACCUGUUGAAUAUAUAGACAGGAAAGAGCAAACCUGGCGAAUUGAAACAUCUUAGUAGC